UACGUAGGGUGCGAGCGUUGCCCGGAUUUAUUGGGCGUAAAGGGCGCGCAGGCGGCUACGCACGUCCGUUGUGAAAUCGCUCGGCUCAACCGGGCGGGGUCAGCGGAUACGGCGUAGCUGGAGCAAGCUAGGGGGCAAUGGAAUUCCCGGUGUAGUGGUGGAAUGCGUAGAUAUCGGGAGGAACACCAGUGGCGAAGGCGGUUGCCUGGAGCUUUGCUGACGCUGAGGCGCGAAAGCGUGGGGAGCGAUCCGG
Molecule: ribosomal RNA, 253 nt
Filed under: uncultured bacterium
Lineage: Bacteria
Description: partial 16S ribosomal RNA
Rfam family: Bacterial small subunit ribosomal RNA
Source: RNAcentral